CAGUCGCCGCGGUAAUACGUAGGUGGCAAGCGUUGUCCGGAAUUAUUGGGCGUAAAGCGCGCGCAGGCGGUUUCUUAAGUCUGAUGUGAAAGCCCACGGCUCAACCGUGGAGGGUCAUUGGAAACUGGGGAACUUGAGUGCAGAAGAGAAAAGCGGAAUUCCACGUGUAGCGGUGAAAUGCGUAGAGAUGUGGAGGAACACCAGUGGCGAAGGCGGCUUUUUGGUCUGUAACUGACGCUGAGGCGCGAAAGCGUGGGGAGCAAACAGGAUUAGAUACCCCCGUAGUCCCUGUCUCUUAUAC
RNAcentral lists this ribosomal RNA (301 nucleotides) under uncultured bacterium. RNAcentral's name for it is "partial 16S ribosomal RNA". It matches the Rfam family "Bacterial small subunit ribosomal RNA", at positions 509 to 807 of the family's 1533-position model. The record is from RNAcentral.